RNAcentral lists this ribosomal RNA (471 nucleotides) under uncultured Leptolinea sp. RNAcentral describes it as "bacterial SSU rRNA". It matches the Rfam family "Bacterial small subunit ribosomal RNA", at positions 897 to 1382 of the family's 1533-position model. The record is from RNAcentral. Lineage: Bacteria; Bacillati; Chloroflexota; Anaerolineae; Anaerolineales; Anaerolineaceae.
AAACUUAAAUGAAUUGACGGGACCCCGCACAAGCAGCGGAGCGUGCGGUUUAAUUCGAGGCUACACGAAGAACCUUACCAGGGUUUGACAUGCAAGUGGUAGGAAUCCGAAAGGUGACCGACCCUUCGGGAGCUUGCACAGGUGCUGCAUGGCUGUCGUCAGCUCGUGUCGUGAGACGUUCGGUUAAGUCCGCUAACGAGCGCAACCCUCGUCGUGUGUUAUACGUGUCACACGAUACUGCCGGUAUCAAGCCGGAGGAAGGUGGGGAUGAUGUCAAGUCAGCAUGGCCUUUAUAUCCUGGGCUACACACACGCUACAAUGGCAGAUACAAUAGGUUGCGAAACCGCGAGGUGGAGCCAAUCCUCAAAGUCUGUCUCAGUUCAGAUUGUAGGCUGCAACUCGCCUGCAUGAAGUUGGAGUUGCUAGUAAACGCAGGUCAGCUAUACUGCGUUGAAUACGUUCCCGGGGUUU